This 375-nucleotide ribosomal RNA is filed under the name uncultured archaeon. Its description in RNAcentral is "bacterial SSU rRNA". It matches the Rfam family "Archaeal small subunit ribosomal RNA", at positions 350 to 727 of the family's 1478-position model. The record is from RNAcentral.
UCGCAAUGUGCGAAAGCACGACGAGGUUAUUCCGAGUGAUCUCCGCUGAGGAGAUCUUUUCUCAGAUCUAAAACGUCUGGGGAAUAAGGGGAGGGCAAGUCUGGUGUCAGCCGCCGCGGUAAUACCAGCUCCUCGAGUGGUUAGGGCGUUUAUUGGGCCUAAAGCAUCCGUAGCCGGCUCAGUUGGUCUCCUGUUAAAUCCAACGGCUCAACCGUUGGUCUGCAGGAGAUACCGCUGGGCUAGGAGGCGGGAGAGGCGGACGGUACUCCGAGGGUAGGGGUAAAAUCCUUUGAUCCCCGGAAGACCACCAGUGGCGAAGGCGGUCCGCCAGAACGCGCUCGACGGUGAGGGAUGAAAGCUGGGGGAGCGAACCGG